This 672-nucleotide long non-coding RNA is filed under the name Nicotiana benthamiana. RNAcentral describes it as "long non-coding RNA (NBEN_LNC032457)". The record is from RNAcentral. Lineage: Eukaryota; Viridiplantae; Streptophyta; Magnoliopsida; Solanales; Solanaceae.
ACAACUAAAACAUGUUACCCAAAUAAUAGAGAAUCACAAAUCAACACGAUAUCAUAACAAAAUAAAAUGAGAAUGAAAAUUGAGAAAUGAACCUUUCAUUGAUGAAUAAAUCCGAAAAUUGCAAAUCAAACGGGCUAGACUAAGCAAUAUUCCUCGGGCAAAAAUACCGAAAUUACAAAUCGGAAUCUCGAAUCGGCACAAACUUCAAAUCACUGCAACAGAAUUCAUCAAGCUCAAAGGCCAGAAUCCUAUUGACCCCUAUUGGUCUCACCCACGAUGACAUGGCCCAUAGGAAGCCCAUCAGCAGUUCACCGGUCUCCCUUGGAAAAACAAAGGAUUUAAAAAAAAAAUUCUAAGCAGAGGAACACAUUAACCAAACAGUACGUUUCCCUUCGCCAAUCACUUUGAAUUUCCUAUACCCCUCAACUUCUCUGUCCAAAAUCCCAUUUUUAGCAACAAUAGAAACUAGAAUGAGAGAUUUUUACUCUUACAAUAAUGAAGUAGAAGUCGAAGAUGAAGCGACUAAACUUUCCCCUUCAGUAGAACAAAUGCUAAACCAAAUCUCUGUAAUCCGCGUGGAAUUGGUAGUUCUAUUAUGUUGCAAUUACCUUAGACCGCUGCUACUAUCUUAGAGUUGUAGGGAUUCUAUUUUUUUGGUCUUAGUUAGGUCUA